GAAUUUAAAUGACGGGGUUGUAGCUGGCUCUUUGCAGCAUGUGCACGCCUUUGUUCAAUUCAUCCACAUACCUCUGUGCACUUUUCAUAGGUUGGCUCGUCAUAAAGGACCGUCUUUAAUGACCGUUUCGAGAGCCUCCCUGUGUAUUUUACCACAAACAUUAUAAAAAGUCUAUGAAUGUACACUUUGCUAUAAACGCAUUUAAAUACAACUUUCAGCAACGGAUCUCUUGGCUCU
This 237-nucleotide unclassified non-coding RNA is filed under the name rhizosphere metagenome. RNAcentral describes it as "partial ribosomal RNA internal transcribed spacer region". The record is from RNAcentral.